UGGGGAAUAUUGGACAAUGGGCGAAAGCCUGAUCCAGCCAUGCCGCGUGUGUGAAGAAGGUCUUCGGAUUGUAAAGCACUUUAGGUUGGGAGGAAGGGCCAUUACCUAAUACGUGAUGGUCUUGACGUUACCGACAGAAUAAGCACCGGCUAACUCUGUGCCAGCAGCCGCGGUAAUACAGAGGGUGCAAGCGUUAAUCGGAAUUACUGGGCGUAAAGCGCGCGUAGGUGGUUCGUUAAGUUGGAUGUGAAAGCCCCGGGCUCAACCUGGGAACUGCAUUCAAAACUGUCGAGCUAGAGUAUGGUAGAGGGUGGUGGAAUUUCCUGUGUAGCGGUGAAAUGCGUAGAUAUAGGAAGGAACACCAGUGGCGAAGGCGACCACCUGGACUGAUACUGACACUGAGGUGCGAAAGCGUGGGGAGCAAACA
This 427-nucleotide ribosomal RNA is filed under the name uncultured Pseudomonas sp. RNAcentral's name for it is "bacterial SSU rRNA". It matches the Rfam family "Bacterial small subunit ribosomal RNA", at positions 355 to 774 of the family's 1533-position model. Lineage: Bacteria; Pseudomonadati; Pseudomonadota; Gammaproteobacteria; Pseudomonadales; Pseudomonadaceae. The record is from RNAcentral.